CUGUUUGGUGGUGAAACAGCAUCCAAGAUGCUUGAAAAGUGGGACACGGCAUUCAAGUACAAGGUUAUCAAAGAGGCCAAACAACUGACUCAGUCAAAAGAGCUGUGCCGACUUCUGAAUGCUGCUGAGAAACCUACGGAGAAUGAUGACACUAGUAAGCUGGGACAGUGACAUGGCUUCUCUGCUGCUGCUCCUUCAUCUCUUGCCACCCACAGCUGGACGGAAGAGGAGCAAAAUCAGUGCCAGUGAUGCAGUGGAAAAAAUGGUUCACUUUCACAAGUCGUGCUGCAGCAUUGAUGAACACCUGCGUGGGAGAAAGGGUCAACAACCGUACAUCCUUGCUGCUGGUCGCACCCAGAAC
Long non-coding RNA from Gadus chalcogrammus (walleye pollock), 361 nucleotides. RefSeq lists it as uncharacterized. The transcript is spliced from 3 exons. The record is from RefSeq and is a predicted model, not a curated record. Lineage: Eukaryota; Metazoa; Chordata; Actinopteri; Gadiformes; Gadidae.